Molecule: non-coding RNA, 177 nt
Filed under: Desulfosporosinus sp.
Lineage: Bacteria; Bacillati; Bacillota; Clostridia; Eubacteriales; Desulfitobacteriaceae
Source: RNAcentral
GAUAACUUUUAUGUUACAGGUGCCCUUAACGGGAGAAUAGGGAAUCAGGUACUUAUCCUGAGCGGACCCACCACUGUGAAGAGAGAGUCUUGUACACUGGCCACUGGCUUUCGCUGGGAAGGCGUACAGAGAUGAUGACCUUUGAGCCAGAAGACCUGCCUGUAAUGUUGAUUAGUU